Molecule: ribosomal RNA, 271 nt
Filed under: uncultured bacterium
Lineage: Bacteria
Description: partial 16S ribosomal RNA
Rfam family: Bacterial small subunit ribosomal RNA
Source: RNAcentral
UACGAAGGGUGCAAGCGUUAAUCGGAACUACUGGGCGUAAAGCGCGCGUAGGUGGUUCGUUAAGUUGGAUGUGAAAGUCCCGGGCUCAACCUGGGAACUGCAUCCAAAACUGGCGAGCUAGAGUAUGGCAGAGGGUGGUGGAAUUUCCUGUGUAGCGGUGAAAUGCGUAGAUAUAGGAAAGAACACCAGUGGCGAAGGCGACCACCUGGGCUAAUACUGACACUGAGGUGCGAAAGCGUGGGGAGCAAACAGGAUUAGAUACCCUUGUAGU